Long non-coding RNA from Chiroxiphia lanceolata (lance-tailed manakin), 2159 nucleotides. RefSeq lists it as uncharacterized. The record is from RefSeq and is a predicted model, not a curated record. Lineage: Eukaryota; Metazoa; Chordata; Aves; Passeriformes; Pipridae. The transcript is spliced from 6 exons.
CUGGAGCUGUCCUUGUCUGCAAUCUCCGAGUAUUAAAAGGAUCAGCAACGAAGCACUGAGCUUUUUUGAUUGCACGUGCCAUCCAGGUAACCUUUGGGAGCAGAUAAGCAUUGGAGGUAUCCCAGAAGAUGACAGCACAUUGUCCAAGUCUGGUCAGAGCCAGUGACCUGAGGACCUGCCUGGGUGACAGUGAGUAGAGGGAUCAUGGGGGCUGGGGCCACGUGCCACACGACUCAGAUCUUGUGUCUGGUUUUCUUUCUCGCAGUUGACUCCGAGUACUCUUCCGAUGCCAGGAACCUCUGAGCCAGCCCAGGUGCCCCUCCUCUGCAUCAAAGAUGGAUUCGCAUCCCCGGCUGUCGGAAAGAUAAGUGCAGGGCAAAGACCCAGAGAGGGGCUGGGAGUCGGUGCAAGUGUGUGCAUUGCCCGGUGGGAUUUUUGAAAUUAGUCCGGUGCAAGGGGUAUCCUGUAACAGGUUAUUUGGACACAUCGAAGGAAGGGCUUACUUUGUCUCGUUGGAUUCACGUGUGCAGGGCAGAGCAGUUCUGGUCUGUGUCACGUCCUUUGUCUCGUCCCUGUUUUGUGUCCUUCUCUUAAUUGUGUCACAUGGUGUGUGUUGUCACUGGUACGGGGUGUCUCACUUGGGGUCAGCCUGGAACUGCUCUGCCCUGCUCCGUGGAUCAGUGGGUAGAUAGAAUAUUGCUCAGGGUCUCCCAUCAACAUGUCAGUUACCUCAGGCAGUCGAGCCGAUGUCCGUACGGUCCCGCCGGAUGGAGCGGGUGCACAUAACUCGUGUGCGAUGAUUAUAGCCGAGUGUUGUGGAGCCGAUGGUACUUGGAUAGCAGGGCCUGGAAGCUGGGUUGUCAUUUGUAUUCUCGUCCGCUGCGGUCAGAGUUCUCACUCGCUCAGUGGAAAUGAGUUCUUUGAAGUGGUUAAGGUCUCAGUGACCAUGUGGGUGACCUGACUAACCCUUUGGUUUUUGUUGUUUUUUUUCAGAUAAGCGGACACAGUGUACCCCAGAGGGAGACAAGUUGAAGCAGCCUGGGAAGAAGAUGGGGCCCAAUCGGUCUUGAGGGGUAGCAGCUCAGCAGGGAGACGAGCCAGGCAAUACACAACCUUUUCCCUGUCUGCUGAAGGUGCCGAAGGUCCAUCCGAUAAGAGGUCAAGCUGAAGGAACUGAGAUAGCCAGUAUGAGGCAGUACAUCAGCACAAGCCUCCACGUCCGUGUUGUCUUGCAGCGGCCGUCUGUUCACUUCACGGUGUGUAGCAACGCUUUGGCGUGCAGUCUGAUGGGGUUUAGAGGGGCGGUCUUGGGAGCAGCUGAAGAGAGAGGAGCCUUCUAGGUAUCCCAGAAGAUGACAGCACAUUGUCCAAGUCUGGUCAGAGCCAGUGACCUGAGGACCUGCCUCGGUGACAGUGAGUAGAGGGAUCAUGGGGGCUGGACCCACGUACCACACUACUCAGAUCUUGUGUAUGGUUUUCUUUCUCGCAGUUGACUCCGAGUACUCUCAUGACGACAGGAACCUCCGAGCCAGCCCAGGUGCCCCUCCUCUGCAUCAAAGAUGGAUUCACAUCCGCGGUCUCGGAAAGAUAAGUGCAGGGCAAAGACCCAGAGAGGGGCUGGGAGUCGGUGCAAGUAUGUGCAUUGCCCGGAGGGAUUUUUGAAAUUAGUCUCAGGUGCAGUGGGUAUCCUGUAACAGGUUAUUUGGACACAUCAAAGGAAGGGCUUACUUUGUAUCACUGGAUUCACGUGUGCAGGGCAGAGCAGUUCCGGUCUGUGUCACGUCCUCUGUCUCGUCCAUGUUUUGUGUUCUUCCUCUCUUAAUUGUGUCACAUGGUGUGUGUCGUCACUGGUGUGGGGUGUCUCACUUGGGGUCAGCCUGGAACUGCUCUGCCCUGCUCUGUGGGUCAGUGGGUAGAUAGAAUAUCGCUCAGGGUCUCCCAUCAACAUGUCAGUUACCUCAGGCAGUCGAGCCGAUGUCCAUACGGUCCUGCCGGAUGGAGCGGGUGCACAUAACUCGUGUGCAAUCGUGUGCAAGUGAGCUCAUACAGCAGCCGGGCUUCAAUGGGAUAAGAGCUCUCCCUUUCUUUCAUUGAAUGGGACUUCUCCAGCUAUUCCUGCUUUAUUGAAGCAUCAACUUUGGCAUCCAAAGCAGCAGAGC